This 466-nucleotide ribosomal RNA is filed under the name uncultured bacterium. RNAcentral describes it as "SSU rRNA". It matches the Rfam family "Bacterial small subunit ribosomal RNA", at positions 26 to 518 of the family's 1533-position model. The record is from RNAcentral.
AGGACUAACGCUGGCGGCGUGCCUAACACAUGCAAGUCGAACGGGGUAGCAAUACCCAGUGGCAGACGGGUGAGUAACACGUGGUCAACCUACCUCUGUGUGGGGGAUAACUAGCCGAAAGGUUAGCUAAUACCGCAUACGAUCGUUUUGAGGCAUCUCGAGACGAUGAAAGGAGCAAUCCGCACGGAGAGGGGACUGCGUCCCAUUAGUUAGUUGGUGGGGUAACGGCCUACCAAGACUCCGAUGGGUAGCUGGCUUGAGAGAGCGACCAGCCACACUGGAACUGAGAAACGGUCCAGACUCCUACGGGAGGCAGCAGUGAGGAAUCUUGCGCAAUGGGCGAAAGCCUGACGCAGCAACGCCGCGUGGAGGACGAAGGCUUUCUGAGUUGUAAACUCUUUUCAGCAGGGACGAUAGUGACGGUACCUGCAGAAGAAGCACCGGCCAACUACGUGCCAGCAGCCGC